UCUUCCCCCUCUCUCCCUACUGUCCCGUAGUCUCUCCCCUCAGUCUCUUCCCUCUCUCCCUACUGUCCCGUAGUCUCUCCCCUCAGUCUCUUCCCUCUCUCCCUACUGUCCCGUAGUCUCUCCCCCUCAGUCUCUUCCCUCUCUCCCUACUGUCCCUGUAUCUCUCCCCUCAGUCUCUUCCCUCUCUUCCUACUGUCCCAUAGUCUCUCCCCUUAGUCUCUUCCCUCUCUCCCUACUGUCCCAUAGUCUCUCCCCUCAGUCUCUUCCCUCUCUCCCUACUGUCCCGUAGUCUCUCCCCUCAGUCUCUUCCCUCUCUCCCUACUGUCCCGUAGUCUCUCCCCUCAUCUCUCCCCUCAGUCUCUUCCCUCUCUCCCUACUGUCCCGUAGUCUCUCCCCUCAGUCUCUUCCCUCUCUCCCUACUGUCCCGUAGUCUCUCCCCCCUCAGUCU
Long non-coding RNA from Oncorhynchus tshawytscha (Chinook salmon), 448 nucleotides. The record is from Ensembl. Lineage: Eukaryota; Metazoa; Chordata; Actinopteri; Salmoniformes; Salmonidae.